CUCCAUGUCCUGGGCCUUGACCUCGGCGAUGAUGCUCCCGCUCCAGGGAGCGGUUGUUGUCCAAGGACAGCACCAUGGAUGUGUGGG
RNAcentral lists this microRNA precursor (87 nucleotides) under Eptesicus fuscus (big brown bat). RNAcentral describes it as "microRNA efu-mir-9321 precursor". Lineage: Eukaryota; Metazoa; Chordata; Mammalia; Chiroptera; Vespertilionidae. The record is from miRBase by way of RNAcentral.